RNAcentral lists this ribosomal RNA (465 nucleotides) under Vreelandella stevensii. RNAcentral describes it as "partial 16S ribosomal RNA". It matches the Rfam family "Bacterial small subunit ribosomal RNA", at positions 338 to 795 of the family's 1533-position model. The record is from RNAcentral. Lineage: Bacteria; Pseudomonadati; Pseudomonadota; Gammaproteobacteria; Oceanospirillales; Halomonadaceae.
CCUACGGGUGGCUGCAGUGGGGAAUAUUGGACAAUGGGGGGAACCCUGAUCCAGCCAUGCCGCGUGUGUGAAGAAGGCCCUCGGGUUGUAAAGCACUUUCAGUGAGGAAGAACGCCUGGUGGUUAAUACCCAUCAGGAAAGACAUCACUCACAGAAGAAGCACCGGCUAACUCCGUGCCAGCAGCCGCGGUAAUACGGAGGGUGCGAGCGUUAAUCGGAAUUACUGGGCGUAAAGCGCGCGUAGGUGGCUUGAUAAGCCGGUUGUGAAAGCCCCGGGCUCAACCUGGGAACGGCAUCCGGAACUGUCAAGCUAGAGUGCAGGAGAGGAAGGUAGAAUUCCCGGUGUAGCGGUGAAAUGCGUAGAGAUCGGGAGGAAUACCAGUGGUGAAGGCGGCCUUCUGGACUGACACUGACACUGAGGUGCGAAAGCGUGGGUAGCAAACAGGAUUAGAUACCCCGGUAGUC